GGGUCACACAAUGCUGCCCAUUCGUUGGAUGCCUCCAGAAAGUAUCAUGUACAGGAAGUUCACCACAGAAAGCGAUGUGUGGAGCCUAGGGGUCGUAUUAUGGGAAAUCUUUACCUAUGGCAAACAGCCGUGGUAUCAGCUCUCAAACAAUGAGGUGAUUGAGUGCAUCACUCAGGGUCAAGUCCUGCAGCGACCUUGCACGUGCCCCAAGGAAAUAUAUGAGUUGAUGCUGGGCUGUUGGCAAAGGGAGUCUCACAUUAGGCUCAACAUCAGAGAAAUCCAUUCCUUCCUCCAGAACUUGGCCAAGACUUCUCCACUCUACCUGGAUAUUUUGGGCUAAAUCAUCCUAGUAUUUCUUCUUAUGGUCUACGUGAAUUAAUGUGUUCGCUGCCACUGAACUCCAUUAAAAUGUGUUCAUAACUUUGACAGUAUUAAUGACAAAGAUGUGGAGAAGCUUUCAAAGGGCAAGCAGUGUGCACUUCUCCAUCUGUAGGCACAGUAUUGACUUUUUAGACAAUACUGAAAUGUAUCUUCAUUCUCAAUUUCUCAAUUUUUCCUCUCUCCUUUCUUUCUAAUCAAUUUGGCUUCUGCAUUAUUGUAUCUCUGCAUAGAAAAAGGUCUUAAAAACCUGCUUUGUUAUAUCAGCAGACUCUCCAGUUAAUCCACCACAACUAACAAUGCCUUGUUGUAUUCAUACCUUUGAUGUGGAUGAAAAAAGGGAAAAAUAUAUUUUACUCAAACUUUGUGAUUUCUGCUGUACGGAUACCGGGAGUCUCUUUGUAUUCACCUCAUUUUUUUAUUUUUAUUUUUUUGCUUCAGCAUGUGGGUGGAAAAAGGAAGCAUAUUUCUUGCCGAGUCAAAGACAGAUAGAAUGAAAACAGAACUGUGUUUUCCACUAUCUGGAGGAACUAUGGGAUCAGAUGGCAUCUAACCCCACAAAAACUGAAACAAAACAAAAAACUGAAACAAUUACAUGAAAGGCAAGAGGAACUUUUAUUGGAGAAUCUUUCUGAGGAGUAAAGGGAUUAUUCAAGGAGGUGCACGGCCAGCAUUUUUCAUUGCCAGAUACAAGUUUAUUAUAAGGGAAAAAGAUAUCCCUGGUACUACACAGAAUUAUGUUACAAAAUGAUGAACAAAACACAUACCCCUAUUAUAUCUUCUUGUAGGAUAUUGCCGUGCUACUGGUAAAAAAAUAUUCUACACCUAGUUUUUGGUAAUAAAGGCUGAAGCUAAGCUUAUUAAUGUGCAAGAUUAAUUUCAGGAUUAAAUGUUUAAACUAAUGAUAAAAUAGAAUAAACUACAGAUGUUGGAGUAGGCGUAUCUUAUACUGUGCUUGUCCAGAAGCAUAUUCCUUCCUUCCUCAAUACGUUUUUUUUCAAUUGUGCAAGCAAAACUGUACAUGGUCUGUGUUGAUUAAUGGCCUUUGUGCAGAAAUUAAUCUCUUAUCUUGUAGUACAGCCUUGUAGGCAUAGCUAACUCGUAAUAGCAUAAUUUAUAUUUAAUUGGAAGGGGCUAAUGGAAGAUAUAUAUACAGUGCUACAGAUAGAAUAGGUUGAUAUUACAUAAAUAAUCUAAAGCACAGAGAUCACUGUCUAUGUUUGAGCCAUGUUGGCGGAUAGAGUGAGAUCCCUGGAGAAAACAAAUAUGAUUCUGAGGUUAUGGCUUCCUAUUUGGAGUUCAAAGACCUUUAGUUCAGUAUCAUGUUUAUAUUGGUACUAGUGCUGUCACUCCCAACAUCCACUCUUUUAAAAAUUAUUUCUUUUGGAUUGGAUGGGCAUUGUGCAUGUACAGCAUUUGCAUGGCCACUGUGUUGGUUACAAAUGCAUGGGCAUAUCUGUUAUUUUUUCAAACUGGAAGUUGAAGUUUUCAAAUUUAGAGGAAGGAUUAUUUUUAAUAUGAAUUCUUACAAAUUAAAACCUACUUUAUCUAGGUCGCAAGACUUUUGCCUCCCUCUGUGAGGGGGCAUUGUUGCAAAAAAAA
This is a long non-coding RNA of Oxyura jamaicensis (ruddy duck), 1980 nucleotides long. RefSeq lists it as uncharacterized. The transcript is spliced from 2 exons. NCBI's taxonomy places the organism in Eukaryota, Metazoa, Chordata, Aves, Anseriformes, Anatidae. The record is from RefSeq and is a predicted model, not a curated record.